CUGGGUGUGGCGCAGCUGGUAGCGCGCUACCUUGGGGUGGUAGAGGCCGCUGGUUCAAGUCCAGUCACUCAGACCA
RNAcentral lists this transfer RNA (76 nucleotides) under Clostridia bacterium. RNAcentral describes it as "tRNA-Pro". It matches the Rfam family "tRNA". From Rfam's summary of the family: Transfer RNA (tRNA) molecules are approximately 80 nucleotides in length. The record is from RNAcentral. Lineage: Bacteria; Bacillati; Bacillota; Clostridia. RNAcentral also lists the same sequence under 1 other name.